This 1138-nucleotide long non-coding RNA is filed under the name Mus spicilegus (steppe mouse). Its description in RNAcentral is "lncRNA (ENSMSIG00000021581.1)". Lineage: Eukaryota; Metazoa; Chordata; Mammalia; Rodentia; Muridae. The record is from RNAcentral.
AAAAGAUUUCUGAGCUCAUGAGAGCUUCUCAUACACAGGUAAGAAAAGCUACCUCAAAAUAUUACACUAUCUCUAACACUUAAAAUCAUGCUACAAUCCUCUGUAUCCUUUCAAUAAAAGAUACAAUGGAACCCAUAUGUAUACGCUCAUACUAGAAAUAUUAUUCUCCACCACGUUUUAGAAGUUUCAGUCUCCCAUUUAAGUGGGGGUACAAGAGGCCCUUGGGUGCGUGUUCAAAAUUAGGCCAAAUAUCUGCAGCUUUAACAUUAGACCAGGUGACAAUCGGUCCACUGGUUUAGAGGGUUGGCUACUUGAGCAACACAGCUGUCACAAUGUAAAUGCAAUGUUCGCUCUCUAAUUCCAUCACUCAGCUCUCUAAUCCCAUCACUCAGGAGGCAGAGGCAGGAGAAUCUCCUGAGUUCGAGUCCUGCCUGGCCUACAUAAUGCCUGGGCAAUCGGGGCGACCCAGAUCUAGGGGGGGCUUGGGGUGGGGUGACCGCCUGGCAUGAAGGACGAACCUUCCUUCCCAAGUGUGAUCCUCGAAGCUGGAGAUGAACUCCAGCCGCUGCCUGGCUCGCCGCAGCGCCUGCCCUACCUCUCCCGGGCAGCAGGCCAGGGCCCUUAGAGCUGAACAACAGGGCGAAUAGCGGACUUUGGAAAAGGCUCCGGUUAUGCAAACGGCCGAGGCCACAGACAGGGGUGAGUAGGGGGUCGGGGUGACUUCGACUCCGGACGGCACUAGCACCGGGGAUACGUCCCGCCAAGGGUCUCCCCGCUGGUUCCUGCGAUGGACGGCCGAGGCCUUGACAAGAGACACCUGGCUCCGCGCGACACUGCCCACCUCACCUCCGCAAAAGCAAGCGGCCUUUUGGCCGAGAAAUGUCGCCAAACCGCCGUCGUUCCUCUCCAGCCGCUGCGACAGACACCGACAAAAUGGCGUCCGCGCCGUCACCCUACAACCUCCUCAGGUGGCUCCAGCGCCACCUACGCCGAGCCAGCGCGCAUGCGUCACGGAGCCUCGUGCCCGCCCACAGAUCGUGCGAGGGGACGAGGGGUGAACCUGGAAGCCCGCCUUAAGUCUGCGGCGCGCGUCGGGCUCUCGAAGAAGAGUUUUGCUGGGCGUGGCCACGCUGGGUAG